GUAGCCACUAAGUGUAAAAAUUCAAUCAAAGAAAGAUUAUUUAACGUUUUAAUUUUCAAAAUAAUCUGUGUUAUCUCUUUAACAAAGAUAACAAAUUAUACCAAAGCAAAAUGCGUGAUUAUGAUUAACUCGAAUAGUAAAUUCGGCCUUACUUCUGAAAUUUUCCCAAUAAAGAACUAUCUAUUCAGCUGGAAGACGCGGUAAAAUCAAAUAUCUAUAUAUCUCUAAUGAAGAAACGUAGAUUGUAUAGUUUGAUCGACAUAUGGAAAUAUCGUUGCAACUUUGAUCAAAGUGAGAAUGAAGAUGGAAUUAUAAUUUCAAACACUUCUAACAAACAAACUGAUUUGAGUGAACAAAAUUAUAGCAAUAAAAAGCAUGAGAAUAAUGAAAAUGAACAUUACAGUGAUUAUACUUUUGAGUUAGAUAAUGCUGAUGAAUGGUAUCGAGAGGAAAGGAAUUAGUGUAAGUUUUAAUUGGCAUAUCACUUGAUUUUGAGUUGCAAUUUAAUGUUUAUUAUCAUCAACUAUUUAUCUUUUUAAUAUCGUCUUAUUAAUAGUUAUCAAGUUAUCUAUCUUAGAUAGCGGUUAUGUAAAGAUAAUUAUAAUCAACAUGUAAUUACUUUUCAAUCAUUGUUGGGCGUAAUAAAUGAAACAAGAUAAUUAAUAGUUAAAAAAUGACCAUUUAAAAGCUUUUAUUAUUGAUUAAUCAAUGAAUCCAUUUAAAAUAUUUAAAUAAUGGCAAAAAUUUGACUAUUUUAAAUAAA
Molecule: long non-coding RNA, 763 nt
Organism: Pseudomyrmex gracilis
Lineage: Eukaryota; Metazoa; Arthropoda; Insecta; Hymenoptera; Formicidae
Exons: 3
Source: RefSeq, a predicted model, not a curated record